UACGUAGGGGGCAAGCGUUGUCCGGAAUUAUUGGGCGUAAAGAGCGCGUAGGCGGUCCGGUAAGUCGGUUGUGAAAGUCGGGGGCUCAACCCUCGGAUGCCGAUCGAUACUGUCGGGCUAGAGUCCGGAAGAGGCGAGUGGAAUUCCUGGUGUAGCAGUGAAAUGCGUAGAUAUCAAGUGGAACACCAGUGGCGAAGGCGAGUCCCUGGACGACUCCUGACACUGAGGCACGAAAGCUAGGGGAGCAAACAGG
Molecule: ribosomal RNA, 253 nt
Filed under: uncultured bacterium
Lineage: Bacteria
Description: partial 16S ribosomal RNA
Rfam family: Bacterial small subunit ribosomal RNA
Source: RNAcentral